Molecule: ribosomal RNA, 464 nt
Filed under: uncultured Klebsiella sp.
Lineage: Bacteria; Pseudomonadati; Pseudomonadota; Gammaproteobacteria; Enterobacterales; Enterobacteriaceae
Description: bacterial SSU rRNA
Rfam family: Bacterial small subunit ribosomal RNA
Source: RNAcentral
CUACGGGGGGCUGCAGUGGGGAAUAUUGCACAAUGGGCGCAAGCCUGAUGCAGCCAUGCCGCGUGUGUGAAGAAGGCCUUCGGGUUGUAAAGCACUUUCAGCGGGGAGGAAGGCGGUGAGGUUAAUAACCUCAUCGAUUGACGUUACCCGCAGAAGAAGCACCGGCUGACUCCGUGCCAGCAGCCGCGGUAAUACGGAGGGUGCAAGCGUUAAUCGGAAUUACUGGGCGUAAAGCGCACGCAGGCGGUCUGUCAAGUCGGAUGUGAAAUCCCCGGGCUCAACCUGGGAACUGCAUUCGAAACUGGCAGGCUAGAGUCUUGUAGAGGGGGGUAGAAUUCCAGGUGUAGCGGUGAAAUGCGUAGAGAUCUGGAGGAAUACCGGUGGCGAAGGCGGCCCCCUGGACAAAGACUGACGCUCAGGUGCGAAAGCGUGGGGAGCAAACAGGAUUAGAUACCCCAGUAGUC